GGCACGAUGGCAGAGUGGUUAUCGCGUAAGACUAGAAUAUAGCAUCUCUCCUCAUUUAAGAGGAGAUGUCCAUCUGGGUCAUCUUAUUCCUUCGGGAGCGCAGGUUCAAGUCCUGCUCGUGUCG
Molecule: non-coding RNA, 124 nt
Organism: Diatrype stigma
Lineage: Eukaryota; Fungi; Ascomycota; Sordariomycetes; Xylariales; Diatrypaceae
Source: the annotation of a GenBank genome assembly